Molecule: ribosomal RNA, 406 nt
Filed under: uncultured bacterium
Lineage: Bacteria
Description: partial 16S ribosomal RNA
Rfam family: Bacterial small subunit ribosomal RNA
Source: RNAcentral
AUUGAACGCUGGCGGCAGGCCUAACACAUGCAAGUCGAGCGAGCGGCGGACGGGUGAGUAAUGUCUGGGAAACUGCCUGAUGGAGGGGGAUAACUACUGGAAACGGUAGCUAAUACCGCAUACCAUCAGAUGUGCCCAGAUGGGAUUAGCUAGUAGGUGGGGUAAUGGCUCACCUAGGCGACGAUCCCUAGCUGGUCUGAGAGGAUGAUCAGCCACACGGGAACUGAGACACGGUCCAGACUCCUACGGGAGGCAGCAGUGGGGAAUAUUGCACAAUGGGCGCAAGCCUGAUGCAGCCAUGCCGCGUGUGUGAAGAAGGCCUUCGGGUUGUAAAGCACUUUCAGCGAGGAGGCGUUACGCGCAGAAGAAGCACCGGCUAACUCCGUGCCAGCAGCCGCGGUAAUUC